AGGCGCGGGUCUGAAGUAAACGGUCAGGUCGACUCUCAGAUCUUCGCUGGGGCUUGUUCCUGCCUCUACUUUGGUUUUCGUUCCGCAGAAUGGUGUAGCAAGCUGGGCGGUCCCACCGCACCGGACUGCCGAGAAAGGUUCUGCAACUGCAGAUUUAACCAAUCUUGGAUCAAAAAAAAUUUUUUUUAAUUAUGUCUAUCUUCCUGGAUGCAAUGGCACAUACCUGUAAUUCCAGUGGCUCAGGAGGUGGAGGAGAUUCCUUGGAAUGAAACCAAUGGGAGUCCAGGCUUUGGGAGAGUCUCAUCAGAGCAGAUGGGCCAGCAGCAGCCAGAAAGCUUGUUGCCUUUGGCUGAGAGCACCAUCCUGGAAGUGAACAUCUUGUGAGUAAACCCCAGCAGGCUCAGCCUUCGGCCUGAGUGAAGUGGCCUGCUUCUCCUUGAAGAAGGACCUUGUGUUCUCCCACUUUUCCCCUCCCUUCUUGCACAUGUUGAAAAUCCCACUUCUGAGAGCACUCUUCAACUGAAAACCAUGUUGACCAUGAGCAGCCCUGGGAGAUGGCUUCUUAUUGCUUUAGGUCUCUUGGUAUAUGGAAGUGCGUGGCCUGGAGGGCCAGAAGGCCUGAGUUCUGGUUGCUACACAACUACAAAUUUUCUCUGGGACCCUGUUUCCUUGGGACCAAAUUGUUCCUCUGUGGGCCACAGCUUCCUCCACUGUAAGGUUGUUUAUAAUAAGAAUAGCUGCCAUUUAUGAAAUGCUCACUAUGUUCCAGACAUUAUCUCAUUGAAUUCUUUCAACAGUCCUAUGACAUUUGUCCUAUUAUUGUCUUACUUUACAAAUAAGGAAACUGAGGCUUAGCAUUUUCAUACCCUAAUCACCCUUUUUAAAUUGCCAACUGUGUCUAGGCAUAGUGGCCUGUGCCUAUACUCUCAGAUACUUGGGAAGCUGAGGCAGGAAGAUGGCUUGAGCCCAGGAGUUUGAGAUCAACCUGGCCAACAUAGGAAGGUCACAUCUUAAAAAAAAUCCCUACCCCUGGCCAACACUCUUUCUCUGCUUUAUUUUAGCUAUAUCAUUUAAUACCACCUGAAAUGCCACAUAGUUUAUUUUUCUGUUUGUCCUUACCCGCAUAAGACUGUAAACUCCAUUAGGAAAUGGAUUUUGUCUUUUUGUUAUUGUUAUUAUUGUUCAUUUUCUGUGUCCCCAGGGCCUAGAAUUAUGCCUGGAACGCUGUAGACAUUCAAAUAUUGGUUGAACGAAAAACUCAUCAAAUGAAUUCUUGAUAGGAUUGUAAAUUGGCAUAGACUCUAAGGAAGUCAGUUUAGCAAUAAUAACAUUUAACAUACACUAACCUUUUGACCCCACAACACCAGAAUUAUUUUAUUCUAUACAUAAUAUGUUCAUGAAUGUGCCUACGACCAUAAGUGCAAGGAUGUUUACCGCAACAGUUUCCUACAAAGACUAGAAACAAUCAAUAUGUUCAUUAAUAAGGGAGCCUAAUUAAAUAAAUGGAUAAGUUCCUACAGUAGAUUCUGUGUAGAGGUAGAAAAGGAUGAAGUAAUCUGCAUGCACUGAUACACAACAACCUAAGAAAUAUUUUAAGUAAAAAGGCAGAGUAAAAAAACAGUAUAUUACUUCCUUCCAUUUGUAUUAAAAGGUAGGAGAGAUCUUAAGAAAUACUUGUUUAUGCCUAGACUAUUUCCAGAAGACAAAAAAAAUUUGCCUUGAAGAAGGGGACCAGAAAAUCUAGGCAUGGGUAGUGAAUAAACUCCUAUUAAAAUAUACUUCACAAGCCAGGCAUUGUGGUGUAACACCUGUAAUCUCAGCAGCUGGGGAGACUGAGGCAGGAAGAUCUCGAGUUCAAAGUCAGCCUCAGCAACCACGAGGUGCUAAGCAACUCAGUGUGACGCUGCCUCUAAAUAAAAUACAAAAUAGGGUUGGGGAUGUGGCUCAGUGAUUAAGUGCCCCUGAGUUCAAUUCCUGGUACAAAACAAACAAAUAUAUAUAUAUAUAUAUAAUCAAAGUUUUCUAUUUUAACCCUUUUUAAAUGUAUACUUAAAUGGCAUUAAUUAUAUUAAUUAUAUUUACAAUAUUGUGCAAACAGUCACAAAUGUGUAUAUAUAUGUAUUUAUUUAUUUCACAAACUAUGCAAUUGACCUUUUUUUUUUUUUUUUUGGUGCUGAGGAUUGAACCCAGAGCAUUGUGCAUGCUAGGCAAGCACUCUAACAACUGAGCUAUAUCUCCAACCCUGCAAUUGACCUUUUUAAAAUGUACAAUUCAAUAGUUUUUGGUAUGUCAGAUUAACUUUUGAAGAUUAUGAUAAAAAUGUGUAUGUAAUAAAGUUUCCUAUUUUAACCCUUUUAAAGUGUGCACUUAAAUGGUAUUAAUUAUAUUCAUAAUAUUGUGCUAACAGUCAUAAUUUUCUUUUUUUAAAUAUUUACUUUUUAGUUGUAGUUGGACACAACACCUUUAUUUCCCUUGUUUACUUUUUUAUGUGGUGCUGAGGAUCGAACCCAGGGUCUCGCACGUGCGAGGCGAGUGCUCUACCGCCGAGCCACAACCCCAGCCCCAACAGUCACAAUUUUCUAAAACCUAUUUACCAUCUCAAACAGAAAUUUUUAUAACCAUUAUAGUGUGGUUUUCUGUGGUGUUUGAUUUUUUAAAGAACUAUGCACAUGUAUUACUUUUUUAUUUUAAAAAUUAACUUAUAAAAUAAAGUAUAUCAGGUUCAGAAAACUUAAUAUCCCACAGUCAUAUUCCAUAGUAGCAACCAUCAAUUUUAUGAUAAAAAUAUUAAAAAGUCUUUCAAAUAAUUAAGUUUUAGCCAUCCUUCUGGGUACUCUAAGAGACCUUGGAUAUCAUCUCACUUGUUCAUUCUACAAUGAGAUAACAGAUUCAUAGGUGAGGUGGCUGCCCCAAGUCAAAGCCCAUUAGGAGCACGCCUCCUAAUCCAAGGGACAGUAUUCAAAUUAGGUCACACAAGAGAUCUUCUGCUCUUUGACAGAAAGUGGGGCUUAAAUCUUACUGCCCCAACAGAGUACUUAGGGUCUCUCAUUUUGGAUAUCUCCUAUAUGUCCCAAAUACCAAUACUAUCUAGUAAUAGGGAAUGGGGCCAUUGCCCCAUUGUUUCGGUUUAUCUAAAACUAUGCAGCAAACCUUCAGGACCUAACUCAAUUUCUGUUUCUUAGAAAAUAUUUUUAAUUGCCCUACUGCAUCCAAAUCUCCACUUAAUUCUUAACUCAUAAACAUUAUUAUUUGAAACAUACAAUUAGCAAUCAGAGAAUGGUGUGAAACAUUUUAUAGCUAUAUCAAUUUGUGAGUCCCUUCUACCCACUGGUGUAAACUCCAGGAAGACAGGAAUUAAGUGGUUGAUUUCUGCAGGAGGUUCCCAGUAGAUGAUUGUGGGUGGAUUGGAUUAAGCUGUGCCAAUCUGAAAAGAAAAGAAAACUGAUUUUAUUUUAUUGGUACCAGGAAUUUAACCUAGGGGCACUUCUACAUCCCCAGGCCCCUUUUUAAAUUUUUUAAUUUUAUUUAGAGAUAGCAUCUCACUGAGUUGCUUAGGUCCUCAAUAAGUUGCUAAGGCUGGCUUUGAAUUUGUGAUCCUCCUGCCUUAGCCUCCUUAUAUGCUGGGAUUACAAGCAUGUACCACCGCGCCCAACAGAAAACCCGAAUAUAGAUGGGAGCUCUUCAGAGCGUUUCUCUGUGCCUCCCAGUAGAGCUGUCUGUUGGCUCACGGAGCACUGGAAUCGAUGGAGAUUAUGGCUAUCUCAUGUUUGCUGAGAACUAAGUGUGAUCCUUCCCUUAUUGAACUUACCAUGGCAUUAAUUACACCUUCAAUUGGGUGAUUGUUUGAUCACAACUUAUCUUUCUUUCUCCCUUCCACCCCUAACAAACUGGAAAUUCCAUGAGAACAUGGACCACAUCUGGUUUGACUCACCAUUGAGUGAGUCUCUAACACCAUUCCUGACACAUACAAAGUGCUCAGGAAAUAUUUGUUAAAGGACUGGAUGAAUGACCGUAACCAUCUUAUUUUAUAGCUGAGGAAGCAGAGACCCAAAGAGAUCAUGCUCACUAGUGGCAGAGCUGGGGUGAGAAGGCAGGUCUCCUUCUUCCCUGGCCAGCCAGCAUCCUACGCCUCUGUGUCCUCUCAGUGUUGGAGUUGGAAAGACCUUGGAGUCUAGUUCACUCCUUUAAUUUUAUAAACGAGAAACUGAGGCCCAGAGGGAAGAAGGACUAACCCAAGAUCACAGAAAGAGGCCCUGGCUGAGCCAAGCCUGGUACCUAGGUCUUCUGACUCCCAAGCCAGUGCUCUUUCUUUGUAAAAGAGAAGAAAAAACAAAGCUGCCUUGGGCUUCUUGCCAGGCCCCUGCAGGAGGUCACAUAGCCGAGCAGCUCUCAGAGUUCCUUGUCUAUUCUUAGCCUGAACUCUUAGUGACUCUGUUCUUCAGCAGACUUUUUUUUCCUCCUUUUUCCUUUGCAUUUGGUUUGUUGUGUAUAUGUGGUAUGUGUUUUAAAUAAAGGGUGCUACGUGUAGGAAACCGGCUUCAGCACAGUCCUGCGAGACCAAGGCCCUGAAAAGAAAAAACUUGAGAGAAAGGGCCCUGAGAAAACAAUCAGCUUCCCUUCCUCCAAAGUGACCCCCGUGUCCUAGAGCUGCCCUCUCUGCUGCCUAUCACCACUGCCAACCCAAGGCUAAACCCUUCACACAAUAAGGAGGAAAUCGCCAGAAAGAAUUUGCAAAGAGGAUUGCUGUUAGUGUUGGCCACUGCUGUCUCGUUUUGAUGCAGACUGAAAAUCAGCUUUUCCCAAGCUGUCGAUCUUGUAUCACUCACUUCAGUUGCCCACUUACAAGUCAUUCAUCAGCUACCCAAUAUGAAUAAAAAGCCCCUUUCUACUA
Marmota monax (woodchuck) is the source of this 4891-nucleotide long non-coding RNA. RefSeq lists it as uncharacterized. The record is from RefSeq and is a predicted model, not a curated record. The transcript is spliced from 3 exons. Lineage: Eukaryota; Metazoa; Chordata; Mammalia; Rodentia; Sciuridae.